Molecule: long non-coding RNA, 1673 nt
Filed under: Phoenix dactylifera (date palm)
Lineage: Eukaryota; Viridiplantae; Streptophyta; Magnoliopsida; Arecales; Arecaceae
Description: long non-coding RNA (PDAC_LNC001801)
Source: RNAcentral
CCGGGAUUAGUCCAAACAAAAAGAUUAACGUUACACAGCAACUCUUCGUAUCCAACGGUGCUACGGGAAAGGGCUUGUAUGUAUAGAAUUACAAAGUGGUAGACUUGGUAUGAAAUUUCGUGGCCACACGUACCUAUGAACCUGUGUGGGAGCUUCCACUCUCGGCACCUUUGACAACUCCAAUCUUAAUUGAAUGCACCCCUUCUUGUUCUCUUCUUGAUGCAAGAAAAAGAACAACUGCAAGAACUAUAUUUUGCAUCCUCAGAGUGUUUUGUGAAGUUAAUGAAUUGAUAGAAAAAAUUCUAAUGAAAGGAAACGGCCCUAUAUACUUCCUUGCGCAUAGAUCAUUUUUGCCCCAUGCUAUUGAGUAUGAUAUUAAGUUGAUCCCAAAUGCUGUAAUUGCAGUCUUUGUACUCUCUUCUUGUAAGCUAAUCAUAUCUGUAAAAUUUCUCCCUUCUUUCAGUUUUCUUGUAUCCACUCUUUCUCCUAUACCAAUUCACCUUUCUAAUAUUUGUAUUGGAUUGACUUUGAACCUUUGUUUUCUGAAUUAUGUUGGUCAAGCUUUGCUCCCUCCAGUCAAAAAAAAAAAAGAAAAAGAAAAUCACAAAUACUAGACUCCUGGAUUCUUUUAUCAUGACUCACAUCUAUUAGGAGGUAACUAAUGCGGUGAGUCAGACUGCAUCUUAUAUAGCCAAUCAUACAAGAGUUACCUUUUGGGAUCCACCACACGUCUCUCCCUUCUUCUUUUUUUUGGUUAAAAUCUCUCCCUUCUUCUCUAAUGAAAAUUUUGUAUACUGAUUCUAGUGAAUGUAUUUAUAAUUUUAUAAUAAAAAUAGGAGCUGGCAUGUUGGAAGCUGCUCGAGAUGAUGCUCUUACUUCUUUUUUUUAAUAAUUUGUCAGUGCUUCAUCCUCAUUGAUGCUUAUUGUCACCUAAGAUAAUAUAACCCAAAAUUAUUAUUUUAUUUUUAUAUAUUAUUAUUAUUUUAUUAUUAUAUAUAUAUAUAUUAUUGUUAUUCUAAUUAUGCGAAAGCUAACUUAGCUACCCAUUUUCAUGAUUAAUCUUAAAGUUUUUAACCAUGGUUAAACUUAUAGCUCUGAUACCAUUGAAUGUCGCCCUGGAUCAGGAGUAUCAGAGAAGCCGGAGCAAGGAUUGUUGUAGUCCAUUCCUGGAGCACGGUAAGCCCUGAUCAUGUUACUUUUUCCCUAUUUUUCUUCUUUCUAGUUUCCGAAAUGAAAUAGAGGGGAGACUCCAUGGCUCUCGGCCGUGGCCGCAGCCGCUGCUGGCUCUCGGUGGGGGCUGCAGUCAAGCCAGAGUCCUGUCCCCUUCCUUCUCUUCAGUGGGGCAGGGUGCCUCAGUGCAAAGAAGAAGGGAGACGGAAAGAAAAGAAAGAAAGAAAGAAGGAAAGAAGGAAAGAAAGAAGAAAAGAGGAAGAGGGGACUCACGGUUCGUCGUCGCGUGUGGCGACCGCCGGCUUCGGCCGCGAAAGUCGCCGGCGUGGGCAUAUGCCGCAAACCGGCCGAGGACGCUAGCGUCGAGCGUCGGCCGCAGGCGCAGCCGAGGGCAUCACGGGCCCGUCCGUGGGCACCAUCGGCCGUGGCCCGGCCCCUCCCGAGUUCACACUUCUCUCUUCGCGGGAGAAGAAAGGGGGAAGGAAGAGAGGAGUCGGGAGAAG